GACGAACCACACAAACGUUAUUCGGAAUUACUGGGCUUAAAGGGUGCGUAGGCUGUGCGGAAAGUUGGGCGUGAAAUACCUCAGCUUAACUGAGGAACUGCGUUCAAAACUACCGUGCUCGAGGGAUACAGAGGUAAGCGGAACUUAGGGUGGAGCGGUGAAAUGCGUUGAUAUCCUAAGGAACACCGGUGGCGAAAGCGGCUUACUGGGUAUCUUCUGACGCUGAUGCACGAAAGCUAGGGUAGCGAACGGG
This 253-nucleotide ribosomal RNA is filed under the name uncultured bacterium. Its description in RNAcentral is "partial 16S ribosomal RNA". It matches the Rfam family "Bacterial small subunit ribosomal RNA", at positions 524 to 776 of the family's 1533-position model. The record is from RNAcentral.